This 565-nucleotide long non-coding RNA is filed under the name Homo sapiens (human). Its description in RNAcentral is "non-protein coding lnc-STAT4-4:1". Lineage: Eukaryota; Metazoa; Chordata; Mammalia; Primates; Hominidae. The record is from RNAcentral.
UAUUACCAUAUGAGUUACAUUGCUGAAUAAAGAAAGAGGGUGAAUUUGUAGUAUACUGCAGCUAAAGGACUACUUUCAGGUUUCUGAAGGAUGGAGGAAAAUGUUUGUUUUCUGCUAUGCAAUGCCUCAACAACCUUCCACUUCCUUUCAGUAGGUGAAUUUAGACGGAUAAAAAACUUAUGCAUUUCCUAUUUGACUUUGUCAAGCAAUUGAUUCUUAUUGGUACACAUAAUACGACUAAGUUAAAUAUGUUUUCCUUUGACUAUAAUUUGCUUCUCAUGAAAAAAUAAAUGAUGCAUAUGUCUUUACUGCUACUAAAAACAGUUCCUCUGCCUUUUUGGUACUGCUCCUCUCUGUCAAUUAAAAUCCCAAUUUCAGGAAAGCUGAGCUGGCAGAGAUUAUUUUUAAAAAGGCAACUCUGAAUUUAACUAGCUCAGAAUUGCACACAAGAGAUGGAUUACUGGGAAAUGAGUUAGAAAAAUCUCUUUAAAAAAAAGGUGGCAGUAUUAAAAAAGCCAAACAAAGAUACAAACUCCACUUCUGGCACCAUCUGGCCUCAUCUAUA